CUCAGUUGAAGAGUCCCACAUGGGACGAAACACAUAUCCUGGAC
RNAcentral lists this non-coding RNA (44 nucleotides) under Schistosoma bovis. The record is from RNAcentral. RNAcentral also lists the same sequence under 1 other name. Lineage: Eukaryota; Metazoa; Platyhelminthes; Trematoda; Strigeidida; Schistosomatidae.